CAGCAGCCGCGGUAAUACGUAGGGUGCAAGCGUUAAUCGGAAUUACUGGGCGUAAAGCGUGCGCAGGCGGUUUUGUAAGACAGAGGUGAAAUCCCCGGGCUCAACCUGGGAACUGCCUUUGUGACUGCAAGGCUAGAGUACGGCAGAGGGGGAUGGAAUUCCGCGUGUAGCAGUGAAAUGCGUAGAUAUGCGGAGGAACACCGAUGGCGAAGGCAAUCCCCUGGGCCUGUACUGACGCUCAUGCACGAAAGCGUGGGGAGCAAACAGGAUUAGAUACCCCUGUAGUCCCUGUCUCUUAUAC
This 301-nucleotide ribosomal RNA is filed under the name uncultured bacterium. RNAcentral's name for it is "partial 16S ribosomal RNA". It matches the Rfam family "Bacterial small subunit ribosomal RNA", at positions 509 to 807 of the family's 1533-position model. The record is from RNAcentral.